AUUGAACGCUGGCGGCAUGCCUAACACAUGCAAGUCGAACGGCAGCACGGCAGUAGCAAUACUGUGGGUGGCGAGUGGCGGACGGGUGAGGAAUACGUCGGAAUCUGCCCAAUCGUGGGGAUAACUAGCCGAAAGGUUAGCUAAUACCGCAUACGACCGAGAGGUGAAAGCGGGGACCGCAAGGCCUCGCGCGAUUGGAUGAGUCGACGUCGGAUUAGCUAGUUGGUGGGGUAAAGGCCUACCAAGGCGACGAUCCGUAGCUGGUCUGAGAGGAUGAUCAGCCACACUGGAACUGAGACACGGUCCAGACUCCUACGGGAGGCAGCAGUGGGGAAUAUUGGACAAUGGGCGCAAGCCUGAUCCAGCAAUGCCGCGUGUGUGAAGAAGGCCUUCGGUUGUAAGCACUUUAUCAGGAACGAAAAGCGAUGGAUUAAUACUCUGUCGUGCUGACGGUACCUGAGGAAUAAGCACCCGCUAACUUCGUGCCAGCAGCCGCGGUAAUACGAAGGGUGCAAGCGUUAAUCGGAAUUACUGGGCGUAAAGCGUGCGUAGAUGGUUCAUUAAGUCGGAUGUGAAAGCCCGGCUGCACAUGGCAAGACUGCAUCUGAUACUGGUGGACUAAAAGUGUGGUAGAGGAUGGCGGAAUUCCCGGUGUAGCGGUGAAAAUGCGUAGAGAUCGGGAGGAACAUCCGUGGCGAAGGCGGCCAUCUGGACCAACACUGACGUUGAGGCACGAAAGCGU
RNAcentral lists this ribosomal RNA (742 nucleotides) under uncultured bacterium. RNAcentral describes it as "bacterial SSU rRNA". It matches the Rfam family "Bacterial small subunit ribosomal RNA", at positions 28 to 762 of the family's 1533-position model. The record is from RNAcentral.